AGAGUUUGAUCAUGGCUCAGAUUGAACGCUGGCGGCAGGCCUAACACAUGCAAGUCGAGCGGUAGCACAGAGAGCUUGCUCUCGGGUGACGAGCGGCGGACGGGUGAGUAAUGUCUGGGAAACUGCCUGAUGGAGGGGGAUAACUACUGGAAACGGUAGCUAAUACCGCAUAAUGUCGCAAGACCAAAGUGGGGGACCUUCGGGCCUCAUGCCAUCAGAUGUGCCCAGAUGGGAUUAGCUAGUAGGUGGGGUAACGGCUCACCUAGGCGACGAUCCCUAGCUGGUCUGAGAGGAUGACCAGCCACACUGGAACUGAGACACGGUCCAGACUCCUACGGGAGGCAGCAGUGGGGAAUAUUGCACAAUGGGCGCAAGCCUGAUGCAGCCAUGCCGCGUGUGUGAAGAAGGCCUUCGGGUUGUAAAGCACUUUCAGCGGGGAGGAAGGCGAUAAGGUUAAUAACCUCAUCGAUUGACGUUACCCGCAGAAGAAGCACCGGCUAACUCCGUGCCAGCAGCCGCGGUAAUACGGAGGGUGCAAGCGUUAAUCGGAAUUACUGGGCGUAAAGCGCACGCAGGCGGUCUGUCAAGUCGGAUGUGAAAUCCCCGGGCUCAACCUGGGAACUGCAUUCGAAACUGGCAGGCUAGAGUCUUGUAGAGGGGGGUAGAAUUCCAGGUGUAGCGGUGAAAUGCGUAGAGAUCUGGAGGAAUACCGGUGGCGAAGGCGGCCCCCUGGACAAAGACUGACGCUCAGGUGCGAAAGCGUGGGGAGCAAACAGGAUUAGAUACCCUGGUAGUCCACGCCGUAAACGAUGUCGAUUUGGAGGUUGUGCCCUUGAGGCGUGGCUUCCGGAGCUAACGCGUUAAAUCGACCGCCUGGGGAGUACGGCCGCAAGGUUAAAACUCAAAUGAAUUGACGGGGGCCCGCACAAGCGGUGGAGCAUGUGGUUUAAUUCGAUGCAACGCGAAGAACCUUACCUGGUCUUGACAUCCACAGAACUUUCCAGAGAUGGAUUGGUGCCUUCGGGAACUGUGAGACAGGUGCUGCAUGGCUGUCGUCAGCUCGUGUUGUGAAAUGUUGGGUUAAGUCCCGCAACGAGCGCAACCCUUAUCCUUUGUUGCCAGCGGUUCGGCCGGGAACUCAAAGGAGACUGCCAGUGAUAAACUGGAGGAAGGUGGGGAUGACGUCAAGUCAUCAUGGCCCUUACGACCAGGGCUACACACGUGCUACAAUGGCAUAUACAAAGAGAAGCGACCUCGCGAGAGCAAGCGGACCUCAUAAAGUAUGUCGUAGUCCGGAUUGGAGUCUGCAACUCGACUCCAUGAAGUCGGAAUCGCUAGUAAUCGUAGAUCAGAAUGCUACGGUGAAUACGUUCCCGGGCCUUGUACACACCGCCCGUCACACCAUGGGAGUGGGUUGCAAAAGAAGUAGGUAGCUUAACCUUCGGGAGGGCGCUUACCACUUUGUGAUUCAUGACUGGGGUGAAGUCGUAACAAGGUAACCGUAGGGGAACCUGCGGUUG
This 1520-nucleotide ribosomal RNA is filed under the name Klebsiella pneumoniae. RNAcentral describes it as "bacterial SSU rRNA". It matches the Rfam family "Bacterial small subunit ribosomal RNA". The record is from RNAcentral. Lineage: Bacteria; Pseudomonadati; Pseudomonadota; Gammaproteobacteria; Enterobacterales; Enterobacteriaceae.